CAGGCACUGUUCUCACGCCUCCUUAGUUCUAUGGUUAAGAGAUAGUUAUGUUCCCUUUAUCACUCAAUUGCAAUUGGGAGAAAGUCAUUUCUGGAAAGUAGAGUCCUGAAAGAUGGGAAAAAAUCUAGCCCUAUGAUUACCUGAUUCAAGCUCUUUGGUCUCCAUGUUUCUCAUUCUCCAACCUACUCAAAAAAAGAAGACCGUCAUUGGAGAAUGCAGAGCGAAAACCGGGGGAAAGGGAAAGACAGAGAGAAGAGAAACUGGAGGGAAAUCAGUGACAUGAAGUGGGGGAAAGGCAUGAGCGACGCAGGUGAGAAACCAAUGAAAGGACAGGAGUGUCUUCAGAGUCGACCAAUGGACAACUUUUCAGCACUCAAAGAUGAAGACAAACUUGAAAUCAAGCCUAUACAUGGAGUCGAGCAGUUUUGUUUUCACAUGCUUUCAGUGGGGGGUGAAUCCUUAAAAAGGCAAUUCAAUCUUUUCAGAAUUAAAGGGCUUAACUAAAAUGUAGCCCUGUACUAGGAAAUGAUUCGGUUUGGAGCCAAUAUUCCUUGGUCACAAAGAGAACCCAGCACAUUAGAUCUGUUGUAUGUAUGCCCCAAAUCUGUAUAGGUUAAUACAAUUUCAGGGCAUAUUUUUAA
Canis lupus familiaris (dog) is the source of this 641-nucleotide long non-coding RNA. RefSeq lists it as uncharacterized. The transcript has 3 exons. The record is from RefSeq and is a predicted model, not a curated record. Lineage: Eukaryota; Metazoa; Chordata; Mammalia; Carnivora; Canidae.